This is a long non-coding RNA of Peromyscus maniculatus bairdii (prairie deer mouse), 520 nucleotides long. RefSeq lists it as uncharacterized. The record is from RefSeq and is a predicted model, not a curated record. NCBI's taxonomy places the organism in Eukaryota, Metazoa, Chordata, Mammalia, Rodentia, Cricetidae.
CCCACGUCCCACACCCAGACACAGACACUGUCCGCACAAAGGCCCCACCCGCCAAUGCUCGGUCUCGCACACACACUUCUGAGUGGCCAGUCUAGACUCCUGGCCUCCUCUUGUUUCCUUUUGGAAAACCUUCAGCUUUUCCAUUUUAAUCAGGCAGUGAGACAACAGUCUAUUUCUGUCACUUCUGAGUGUUGGCCAAAGAUUGUUCUUUUGAAAUACCCACAGCCUCACUUCGUCGUAGUCCCAGCUGUCUGGAAUUCACUGACGAUUUGUCUCCUGAGCCCUGGGAUCACAGGUGUACAUCGCCUGGUCUGUUUUUAUGUGGUGUUUGGCAUCAAACCCAGGAAUACAAGCAUGCAAAACAAGAACUCUGCUAAUUGAGCAUGCUUACACCCUGAGACUGCUCCCUUCUGGAACUUCCACUGAGAGGAGCCAAGCCCUCCUAACUGAGCACUGAGGGUUCCAGGACCCGAGGCUCACUGGACCGGGUACAUCUGUCUCCCCAGCAAGACUACUGGAU